UACAGAGGGGGCAAGCGUUAUUCGGAAUUAUUGGGCGUAAAGGGCGCGUAGGCGGCCUUGCAAGUGGCGGGUGAAAUCCCUCGGCUUAACCGAGGAACUGCCUGCCAGACUGCUUGGCUUGAGACCGGGAGAGGUGAGUGGAAUUCCCAGUGUAGCGGUGAAAUGCGUAGAUAUUGGGAGGAACACCAGUGGCGAAGGCGGCUCACUGGACCGGAACUGACGCUGAGGCGCGAAAGCGUGGGGAGCAAACAGG
RNAcentral lists this ribosomal RNA (253 nucleotides) under uncultured bacterium. RNAcentral describes it as "partial 16S ribosomal RNA". It matches the Rfam family "Bacterial small subunit ribosomal RNA", at positions 524 to 776 of the family's 1533-position model. The record is from RNAcentral.